Molecule: unclassified non-coding RNA, 3115 nt
Filed under: Hevea brasiliensis (rubber tree)
Lineage: Eukaryota; Viridiplantae; Streptophyta; Magnoliopsida; Malpighiales; Euphorbiaceae
Source: RNAcentral
GUUUUUUUGACUAUUGACGCUCCGCUAAACCAUUUGCUUCGGGCAAAACCAUAUGCUCUCUGCCCAGCAAAUCCAUCCGAGGAAAGUCAGUUACUCUUGCUCUUCAAACACAACCUAAACGCACUUUAAUCCAACGGCUAUUAUUAACUCCAACUCCUCUACAAAUAGCUUCUCAAACUCCUUGCACUGAUUGCUCCUACUAUACUUGUCUCUUCUCUACAUCACAAAAUCCUUCUCUUUCCCUCUCUAUUUGUGGAUCUAACGCAACCAAGCUUAUAGGCAUGGCGACUACCAUCGUCUCUGUCAAGGCUAGACAGAUCUUCGACAGCCGUGGAAAUCCAACCGUUGAGGCUGAUGUGAAAUUAUCUGAUGGUUAUUUGGCAAGAGCCGCCGUUCCAAGUGGGGCAUCCACUGGGAUCUAUGAGGCCCUUGAACUAAGGGAUGGAGGAUCAGACUACCUUGGAAAAGGUGUUUCCAAGGCUGUUGAGAAUGUUAACACAAUUAUUGGCCCUGCAUUGGUUGGCAAGGACCCAACUGAUCAGGUUGCUGUUGAUAACUUCAUGGUUCAACAACUUGAUGGUACUGUAAAUGAGUGGGGUUGGUGCAAACAAAAGCUUGGAGCAAAUGCCAUAUUGGCAGUUUCUCUUGCAGUUUGCAAGGCUGGGGCUCAUGUCAAGGGGAUUCCCCUCUACAAGCACAUUGCUAACCUCGCUGGUAACAAGAAAUUGGUGUUGCCAGUCCCUGCUUUCAAUGUCAUCAAUGGUGGAUCACAUGCUGGAAACAAACUAGCUAUGCAGGAGUUCAUGAUUCUUCCUGUAGGAGCUUCUUCCUUCAAAGAGGCCAUGAAGAUGGGUGCUGAAGUAUACCAUCACUUGAAGUCUGUGAUAAAAAAGAAGUACGGUCAGGAUGCAACAAAUGUUGGUGAUGAAGGCGGUUUUGCUCCUAAUAUUCAGGAAAACAAGGAAGGACUUGAGUUGCUCAAGACUGCCAUUGCUAAAGCUGGGUACACAGGGAAAGUGGUUAUUGGAAUGGAUGUUGCUGCUUCUGAAUUUUAUGGCUCAGAUAAAACAUAUGAUUUGAACUUCAAAGAAGAGGUGAGUUUUUAAUGGCGUGCUGAUAUUUUCAAUUGCAAUAUUUUAACUUCAUUCUAAAGGUCAGGAUAAUCGCUGCCAUUGUUAUUGUUGCAUUUGAAAUAUUGGCUUGUUCAAAUUGGCCUACUGAUUGUAGCAUUGCCUCAGUUUGGCUGGAUAUUUAAGUAUUACUGGGUAUAACUCAUUGUGAGAUGACAAAUCCAUCUGGUUCUGGUCAAUUUUUAUGUCUGCUGCUCAUUUACAUAGUUUGUGCAUGUGUAUGUACUUUACUAAAAAUUAUAAAUUGUAGCGAAUUUUGAAGGAAUUUAUAAGUGGCAAAACUCUUUAUUUUUAUGUUCUCUGAUUGCGCCCUUUCUCUUUCCUGUGAUUCUGUUUGUGCAGAACAAUAAUGGUUCGCAAAAGAUCUCAGGUGAAGCUCUCAAGGACCUCUACAAGUCAUUUGUAACUGAGUAUCCUAUUGUAUCAAUUGAAGAUCCAUUUGACCAAGAUGACUGGGCACACUAUGCAAAGCUAACUAGUGAAAUUGGAGAGAAAGUACAAAUUGUGGGAGAUGAUCUCUUAGUCACCAAUCCUAAGAGGGUUGAGAAGGCUAUCAAAGAGAAAGCUUGCAAUGCUCUCCUCCUCAAGGUUAAUCAGAUUGGAUCUGUAACUGAGAGCAUUGAAGCUGUGAAGAUGUCCAAGAGAGCUGGCUGGGGUGUAAUGGCCAGCCACCGCAGUGGUGAAACAGAGGAUACUUUCAUUGCUGAUUUGUCAGUUGGUUUGGCCACGGGUCAGAUAAAGACAGGAGCACCCUGCAGGUCCGAGCGCCUUGCAAAAUAUAAUCAGCUCCUCCGAAUCGAGGAAGAGCUUGGUGCUGAAGCAGUUUACGCUGGAGCUAACUUCCGCACACCUGUCGAACCCUAUUAGAAUGUGAAAGGUUGUCAGCUGUCACGUUGGAUCUGAGUAGUUGAAAGAUUACAUGAAGUGAAUAAGUUUUAUGUAAACUGGGACCUUUUUUGAAUAAUUUUCUAAGAAAUUUUGUUCUGAGGUUGGAACAGUAUUAAAGCGAAGUUUUUUAAAUUUGAAAUAUGUGCUACCAAAACCUUAGAUUGAGUUUUAUAAUUUUUUUCUAGUCGGGAACGUGUACUUUGGAUGCAUUGUAAUCCUAGGUGAAUGAUUUUGCUUUGCAUAUCAAAAUGGUUUGGUUUGCUAAUGUCCAUCCCCUUGUGCUCUAGGUUGUCUUAGAAGAACAGCUAUUUCUAUGAUGUAUCAUGUGAUGCGAAGAUAAUUCACUAAGGAAAAAGGUAAAUAGAGCCAAAAGGAUGAAAUUUAAUUGUCUGAUUUGUUUUUUCCUCUUUCGAAAAAGUAGGAAGUUUAGUCAGGAGAACACAUGCAAUCCGGUACCAGAAGUUGAUCAAGGUUUCUUCAAGGUACGGUGAAAGUGAAGUUGGAACAAGGUUGGGUAACGUGUUAUUUGUUAACGAUCCAUCUCUACCCUUCCAAGUUCCACCCAUCUAACCUGCUGCCUUGUUGCUUCAUGUCAAGGGCAUGACCUUGUAAUUGCAGCCUCACCUGCUCAGAGUCUGAUUGGCGGUCCUAAUUCUUCAGUAAUAAAGAUUAAUUUUGAUGCAGUCUUGGAUAUGCAAAAAUAAUUUGAUUCUUUCGCAAUCAUUACUCUUAAUGCGUCUGGACAACCUUUGGGUUGAGACUGUAAGCGUGUUCUGGGAAUUACAGAUCUUUCAAUUAUUGAUGUCAUGGCUUGCCGUGAAGCAGUCUUUUGGACUAAGAACAAAGGUUUUCAGGAUGUCUUUUUUGAAAGAGGUGCUAAGAACAUUAUCUCAUAUGCUAUUAGAGGUAAUCUCUAUUACUGUUUCGAAAAUUUUCUAUGAUAUUUUCUUUCUACAUAUAUUCAGACAAUUAAAUUUGAGUUUGCUAAUAGAGAAUGUAAUAAAGUAGCUCACUCUUUAAUUAAGUGUAUGUUUCAAAAUAACUCUUUUGCUUGUAAUUCUUUAGAGCAAACCAACUAUGUAAUUCUUUUUAUGCCA